GCCUGGCUGGCUCAGUCGGUAGGGCAUGUGACUCUUGAUCUUGGGGUCAUGAGUUCAAGCCCCAUGCUGGGAA
RNAcentral lists this transfer RNA (73 nucleotides) under Felis catus (domestic cat). It matches the Rfam family "tRNA". From Rfam's summary of the family: Transfer RNA (tRNA) molecules are approximately 80 nucleotides in length. Their secondary structure includes four short double-helical elements and three loops (D, anti-codon, and T loops). The record is from Rfam by way of RNAcentral. Lineage: Eukaryota; Metazoa; Chordata; Mammalia; Carnivora; Felidae.